CCUACGGGGGGCAGCAGUGAGGAAUAUUGGUCAAUGGCCGAGAGGCUGAACCAGCCAAGUAGCGUGCGGGAAGACGGCCCUACGGGUUGUAAACCUCUUUUGUAGGGGAGUAAAACGAUUCACGUGUGACUCAUUGAGAGUACCCGAAGAAUAAGGAUCGGCUAACUCCGUGCCAGCAGCCGCGGUAAUACGGAGGAUGCGAGCGUUAUCCGGAUUUAUUGGGUUUAAAGGGUGCGCAGGGGGUGGUGAAAGUCAGCGGUAAAAUUGCGGGGCUCAACCCCGUACUGCAGUUGAAACUGCAAGCCUUGAGUGCACUAGAGGUAGGCGGAAUGCGUGGUGUAGCGGUGAAAUGCAUAGAUAUCACGAAGAACCCCGAUUGCGAAGGCAGCAUACCGGACUGCGACUGACGCUGAUGCACGAAAGUGUGGGUAUCAAACAGGAUUAGAUACCCGUGUAGUC
RNAcentral lists this ribosomal RNA (459 nucleotides) under uncultured bacterium. Its description in RNAcentral is "partial 16S ribosomal RNA". It matches the Rfam family "Bacterial small subunit ribosomal RNA", at positions 338 to 795 of the family's 1533-position model. The record is from RNAcentral.